RNAcentral lists this ribosomal RNA (253 nucleotides) under uncultured microorganism. RNAcentral's name for it is "partial 16S ribosomal RNA". It matches the Rfam family "Bacterial small subunit ribosomal RNA", at positions 524 to 776 of the family's 1533-position model. The record is from RNAcentral.
UACGUAGGGUGCGAGCGUUAAUCGGAUUUACUGGGCGUAAAGCGCGCGUAGGUGGUUCAGUCAGUCAGAUGUGAAAGCCCCGGGCUCAACCUGGGAAUUGCACCUGAUACUGCUGAGCUAGAGUACGGUAGAGGGUAGUGGAAUUUCCGGUGUAGCGGUGAAAUGCGUAGAGAUCGGAAGGAACACCAGUGGCGAAGGCGACUACCUGGACCGAUACUGACACUGAGGUGCGAAAGCGUGGGUAGCAAACAGG